This 720-nucleotide ribosomal RNA is filed under the name gamma proteobacterium GM70. RNAcentral describes it as "bacterial SSU rRNA". It matches the Rfam family "Bacterial small subunit ribosomal RNA", at positions 64 to 775 of the family's 1533-position model. The record is from RNAcentral. Lineage: Bacteria; Pseudomonadati; Pseudomonadota; Gammaproteobacteria.
GAGCGGUAACAUUUCUAGCUUGCUAGAAGAUGACGAGCGGCGGACGGGUGAGUAAUGCUUGGGAAUAUGCCUUAUGGUGGGGGACAACAGUUGGAAACGACUGCUAAUACCGCAUAACGUCUACGGACCAAAGGGGGGGAUCUUCGGACCUCUCGCCAUUUGAUUAGCCCAAGUGAGAUUAGCUAGUUGGUAAGGUAAUGGCUUACCAAGGCGACGAUCUCUAGCUGGUUUGAGAGGAUGAUCAGCCACACUGGGACUGAGACACGGCCCAGACUCCUACGGGAGGCAGCAGUGGGGAAUAUUGCACAAUGGGCGAAAGCCUGAUGCAGCCAUGCCGCGUGUGUGAAGAAGGCCUUCGGGUUGUAAAGCACUUUCAGUAAGGAGGAAAGGGUUGUAGUUAAUAACUGCAUUCUGUGACGUUACUUACAGAAGAAGCACCGGCUAACUUCGUGCCAGCAGCCGCGGUAAUACGAGGGGUGCAAGCGUUAAUCGGAAUUACUGGGCGUAAAGCGUUCGUAGGCGGUUAUUUAAGCAAGAUGUGAAAGCCCAGGGCUCAACCUUGGAACUGCAUUUUGAACUGGAUGACUAGAGUACUGUAGAGGGUGGUGGAAUUUCCAGUGUAGCGGUGAAAUGCGUAGAGAUUGGAAGGAACAUCAGUGGCGAAGGCGGCCACCUGGACAGAUACUGACGCUGAGGAACGAAAGCGUGGGGAGCGAACAG